This 671-nucleotide unclassified non-coding RNA is filed under the name Hevea brasiliensis (rubber tree). Lineage: Eukaryota; Viridiplantae; Streptophyta; Magnoliopsida; Malpighiales; Euphorbiaceae. The record is from RNAcentral.
GCAUAGUAAAUCUCAAUCUCUCCCUCUCUCUCUCCCUCUCAAGAUCCCAAUCCUUCUAACCCAAGAGAAGAAAAAAAAAAUAAUAACCCAGAAAGAGAAAAUGGAAUUGAUUAAUGGUUUUAAUCUGAGGACUCAUCAUGGGUGGUCGUCCCUGUGGUUGUUCCACUAUGUUCUUGAUCAACAGUCCCCUGUUUCACCAUCUCAACACCACCACCGCUACAAUUCUCUGAUUUCUCACUGUUUUGGCUGCAAGAACAGCUCUUUGCACUGCCAGUGUCACCAAAAGAAGAUGACCUACUAGACAUUGGUGCAGCCAGGAAAGUUGGCUUAACUUCUCCAGCCAUAAUCACUAAUAUCUUCUCUUCAAAGGCUACGGGUUGCUGUUUCUGACCUUCGCCAGUCUUAUUUGAUCCCUCACCUGCCUCGAGGUCCCUUUCGCCUCCUUCGUUGCCGUUUUCCAGGUAACCAGAUAGCUUCCAGUAGGAACAAGCGAGAAUCAAGAGAGCAAAAGCAAUCAAACCAAGCAUGGCAGCUAAGCCACCAAACAAGUAGGGAACAGGUGAAUGCCACGGAGAGUGGUUUCCGACCGCCGGCUUUGGAGCUCUGGCAGUGACGUUGAAGGGCUCUCUCCCUGCCAUUUUUUUUAAUGUAGAGAGAAGGAAAAAGGAGGA